CACCUGAACUACAAAGAAAGGCUCUUGGUGAGUGACAGCUACCUCUCUGCCAAGCUUGUUGGCACAUACCUGGGCCUUGUCCUGAACCUUGUCCUGAGAGCAGAGGGUGCCUCCUGAAGACAUCAAAGUCUCAUAUAGUAUGUACCGGGAGGACUGGCCAUUACCAUUGUUCACAGACAGCUUCUCCAGGGUGAUUGGCUCUUUGGACUCAUUUGGCCGUUAGGGAGACCAAGAGAGGGAAACAAGAUGGCAGGCAGUGCUGAAGAGGAAACAGAGGAAGAAAAUACAAGCUGCCUUCAUUGAAGGGAUUACCAGGAAAGAAAUGCUGGUUGGACUGAGGAAAGACGUGCUUGCUGGACCAAGGAAAGACAACAAACCUCUGGAUACAAGCAGGGGAUCUAAGGUUUUCACUGCAGCUACCAAGCUGAAUGUUCAGAUUCUGAACCCACAAGAGGCAGACAGAGGAAGCAGUAUGGUGACCAGAUCCCAGGGCUAACAGGCUGAAGGCCCUUCAAGAGCUUAAAG
This 525-nucleotide long non-coding RNA is filed under the name Phascolarctos cinereus (koala). RNAcentral describes it as "lncRNA (ENSPCIG00000033474.1)". Lineage: Eukaryota; Metazoa; Chordata; Mammalia; Diprotodontia; Phascolarctidae. The record is from RNAcentral.